Molecule: ribosomal RNA, 289 nt
Filed under: Staphylococcus aureus
Lineage: Bacteria; Bacillati; Bacillota; Bacilli; Caryophanales; Staphylococcaceae
Description: partial 16S ribosomal RNA
Rfam family: Bacterial small subunit ribosomal RNA
Source: RNAcentral
UUUAUGGAGAGUUUGAUCCUGGCUCAGGAUGAACGCUGGCGGCGUGCCUAAUACAUGCAAGUCGAGCGAACGGACGAGAAGCUUGCUUCUCUGAUGUUAGCGGCGGACGGGUGAGUAACACGUGGAUAACCUACCUAUAAGACUGGGAUAACUUCGGGAAACCGGAGCUAAUACCGGAUAAUAUUUUGAACCGCAUGGUUCAAAAGUGAAAGACGGUCUUGCUGUCACUUAUAGAUGGAUCCGCGCUGCAUUAGCUAGUUGGUAAGGUAACGGCUUACCAAGGCAACGA